UACGGAGGGUGCAAGCGUUAAUCGGAAUUACUGGGCGUAAAGCGCACGCAGGUGGCUGAGUCAGUCGAUUGUGAAAGCCCUGGGCUUAACCUGGGAAUUGCAGUCGAUACUACUCAGCUAGAGUAUGGGAGAGGGCAGUGGAAUUCCCGGUGUAGCGGUGAAAUGCGUAGAUAUCGGGAGGAACAUCAGUGGCGAAGGCGGCUGCCUGGCCCAAUACUGACACUCAGGUGCGACAGCGUGGGGAGCGAACGGG
This 253-nucleotide ribosomal RNA is filed under the name uncultured bacterium. RNAcentral describes it as "partial 16S ribosomal RNA". It matches the Rfam family "Bacterial small subunit ribosomal RNA", at positions 524 to 776 of the family's 1533-position model. The record is from RNAcentral.